This 501-nucleotide long non-coding RNA is filed under the name Monodelphis domestica (gray short-tailed opossum). RNAcentral's name for it is "lncRNA (ENSMODG00000049525.1)". The record is from RNAcentral. Lineage: Eukaryota; Metazoa; Chordata; Mammalia; Didelphimorphia; Didelphidae.
GUUUUCAUGAUUUAUAUAAUUUCUUUUAAAUAGUCAAGGUCAUUGAGUCUGGACCUGAACCUCAUGUGUAGUUACUCUUAUGUAAUACCCAGCUUGGCAAGUCUUAAGUUAUUUUUUUCUCAAUUAUAAGGUGCCAGGAUCAAAGUUUAGAAGGGGAAGAGUCUUCAGGGGCCAAUUUACAAAUGAGGAAACUGAGACAGAGCUUAACUUUCCUAAGAUUAUACAGCUAUGCAGAAUCUGGAGCCAAGAUGCAGGCUUAGUAGCACCAUAAAUUGAAAUAUCUUUGAGAUUCCUUCCAAAUCAACCUUUAAAAAGUGUUUCAUAAUGACAGGAGUCAAAAACCAAGAAGAUGGAGAGAGGGGGCUCUUCUGCAGAAAACAGUUUGAAAGGGCAGAGCAAAGAUGGUGGAGUAGAGCUGAGAAGAUCAGUCACCAUGAGAAUCUUCUCCAACCAAUUUUAAAAUAAUGCCAUGAAAUUAAUAAAGGAGUGAAAGACCCAACA